ACGAACGCUGGCGGCAUGCCUAACACAUGCAAGUCGCACGAGACCUUCGGGUCUAGUGGUGCACGGGUGCGUAACGCGUGGGAACCUGCCCUUAGGUUCGGAAUAACUCCCCGAAAGGGGUGCUAAUACCGGAUAAUGUCUUCGGACCAAAGAUUUAUCGCCUUUGGAUGGGCCCGCGUUGGAUUAGCUAGUUGGUAGGGUAAAAGCCUACCAAGGCGACGAUCCAUAGCUGGUCUGAGAGGAUGAUCAGCCACACUGGGACUGAGACACGGCCCAGACUCCUACAGGAGGCAGCAGUGGGGAAUAUUGGACAAUGGGCGAAAGCCUGAUCCAGCAAUGCCGCGUGAGUGAUGAAGGCCUUAGGGUUGUAAAGCUCUUUUACCCGGGAUGAUAAUGACAGUACCGGGAGAAUAAGCUCCGGCUAACUCCGUG
This 432-nucleotide ribosomal RNA is filed under the name uncultured bacterium. Its description in RNAcentral is "partial 16S ribosomal RNA". It matches the Rfam family "Bacterial small subunit ribosomal RNA", at positions 29 to 507 of the family's 1533-position model. The record is from RNAcentral.